This 2923-nucleotide ribosomal RNA is filed under the name Klebsiella pneumoniae. RNAcentral's name for it is "bacterial LSU rRNA". It matches the Rfam family "Bacterial large subunit ribosomal RNA". Lineage: Bacteria; Pseudomonadati; Pseudomonadota; Gammaproteobacteria; Enterobacterales; Enterobacteriaceae. The record is from RNAcentral.
GGGUUGUGAGGUUAAGCGACUAAGCGUACACGGUGGAUGCCCUGGCAGUCAGAGGCGAUGAAGGACGUGCUAAUCUGCGAAAAGCGUCGGUAAGGUGAUAUGAACCGUUAUAACCGGCGAUGUCCGAAUGGGGAAACCCAGUGCAAUUCGUUGCACUAUCGUUAACUGAAUACAUAGGUUAACGAGGCGAACCGGGGGAACUGAAACAUCUAAGUACCCCGAGGAAAAGAAAUCAACCGAGAUUCCCCCAGUAGCGGCGAGCGAACGGGGAGCAGCCCAGAGUCUGAAUCAGCUUGUGUGUUAGUGGAACGGUCUGGAAAGUCCGACGGUACAGGGUGAUAGUCCCGUACACCAAAAUGCACAGGUUGUGAACUCGAAGAGUAGGGCGGGACACGUGGUAUCCUGUCUGAAUAUGGGGGGACCAUCCUCCAAGGCUAAAUACUCCUGACUGACCGAUAGUGAACCAGUACCGUGAGGGAAAGGCGAAAAGAACCCCGGCGAGGGGAGUGAAAAAGAACCUGAAACCGUGUACGUACAAGCAGUGGGAGCACCUUCGGGUGUGACUGCGUACCUUUUGUAUAAUGGGUCAGCGACUUAUAUUCUGUAGCAAGGUUAACCGUAUAGGGGAGCCGCAGGGAAACCGAGUCUUAACUGGGCGUUAAGUUGCAGGGUAUAGACCCGAAACCCGGUGAUCUAGCCAUGGGCAGGUUGAAGGUUGGGUAACACUAACUGGAGGACCGAACCGACUAAUGUUGAAAAAUUAGCGGAUGACUUGUGGCUGGGGGUGAAAGGCCAAUCAAACCGGGAGAUAGCUGGUUCUCCCCGAAAGCUAUUUAGGUAGCGCCUCGUGAAUUCAUCUUCGGGGGUAGAGCACUGUUUCGGCUAGGGGGUCAUCCCGACUUACCAACCCGAUGCAAACUACGAAUACCGAAGAAUGUUAUCACGGGAGACACACGGCGGGUGCUAACGUCCGUCGUGAAGAGGGAAACAACCCAGACCGCCAGCUAAGGUCCCAAAGUCAUGGUUAAGUGGGAAACGAUGUGGGAAGGCACAGACAGCCAGGAUGUUGGCUUAGAAGCAGCCAUCAUUUAAAGAAAGCGUAAUAGCUCACUGGUCGAGUCGGCCUGCGCGGAAGAUGUAACGGGGCUAAACCAUGCACCGAAGCUGCGGCAGCGACACUAUGUGUUGUUGGGUAGGGGAGCGUUCUGUAAGCCUGCGAAGGUGUGCUGUGAGGCAUGCUGGAGGUAUCAGAAGUGCGAAUGCUGACAUAAGUAACGAUAAAGCGGGUGAAAAGCCCGCUCGCCGGAAGACCAAGGGUUCCUGUCCAACGUUAAUCGGGGCAGGGUGAGUCGACCCCUAAGGCGAGGCCGAAAGGCGUAGUCGAUGGGAAACAGGUUAAUAUUCCUGUACUUGGUGUUACUGCGAAGGGGGGACGGAGAAGGCUAUGUUAGCCGGGCGACGGUUGUCCCGGUUUAAGCAUGUAGGCUGGUUAUCCAGGCAAAUCCGGAUAAUCAAGGCUGAGGUGUGAUGACGAGGCACUACGGUGCUGAAGUAACAAAUGCCCUGCUUCCAGGAAAAGCCUCUAAGCAUCAGGUAACAUCAAAUCGUACCCCAAACCGACACAGGUGGUCAGGUAGAGAAUACCAAGGCGCUUGAGAGAACUCGGGUGAAGGAACUAGGCAAAAUGGUGCCGUAACUUCGGGAGAAGGCACGCUGGUGUGUAGGUGAAGUCCCUGCGGAUGGAGCUGAGACCAGUCGAAGAUACCAGCUGGCUGCAACUGUUUAUUAAAAACACAGCACUGUGCAAACACGAAAGUGGACGUAUACGGUGUGACGCCUGCCCGGUGCCGGAAGGUUAAUUGAUGGGGUUAUCCGUAAGGAGAAGCUCUUGAUCGAAGCCCCGGUAAACGGCGGCCGUAACUAUAACGGUCCUAAGGUAGCGAAAUUCCUUGUCGGGUAAGUUCCGACCUGCACGAAUGGCGUAAUGAUGGCCAGGCUGUCUCCACCCGAGACUCAGUGAAAUUGAACUCGCUGUGAAGAUGCAGUGUACCCGCGGCAAGACGGAAAGACCCCGUGAACCUUUACUAUAGCUUGACACUGAACAUUGAGCCUUGAUGUGUAGGAUAGGUGGGAGGCUUUGAAGCGUGGACGCCAGUCUGCGUGGAGCCAACCUUGAAAUACCACCCUUUAAUGUUUGAUGUUCUAACGUUGGCCCCUUACCGGGGUUGCGGACAGUGUCUGGUGGGUAGUUUGACUGGGGCGGUCUCCUCCCAAAGCGUAACGGAGGAGCACGAAGGUUAGCUAAUCCUGGUCGGACAUCAGGAGGUUAGUGCAAUGGCAUAAGCUAGCUUGACUGCGAGCGUGACGGCGCGAGCAGGUGCGAAAGCAGGUCAUAGUGAUCCGGUGGUUCUGAAUGGAAGGGCCAUCGCUCAACGGAUAAAAGGUACUCCGGGGAUAACAGGCUGAUACCGCCCAAGAGUUCAUAUCGACGGCGGUGUUUGGCACCUCGAUGUCGGCUCAUCACAUCCUGGGGCUGAAGUAGGUCCCAAGGGUAUGGCUGUUCGCCAUUUAAAGUGGUACGCGAGCUGGGUUUAGAACGUCGUGAGACAGUUCGGUCCCUAUCUGCCGUGGGCGCUGGAGAAUUGAGGGGGGCUGCUCCUAGUACGAGAGGACCGGAGUGGACGCAUCACUGGUGUUCGGGUUGUCAUGCCAAUGGCACUGCCCGGUAGCUAAAUGCGGAAGAGAUAAGUGCUGAAAGCAUCUAAGCACGAAACUUGCCCCGAGAUGAGUUCUCCCUGAGACUUUAAGUCUCCUGAAGGAACGUUAAAGACGAUGACGUUGAUAGGCCGGGUGUGUAAGCGCAGCGAUGCGUUGAGCUAACCGGUACUAAUGAACCGUGAGGCUUAACCUUACAACGCCGAAG